GCAGUCGAGCGCACCGCAAGGUGAGCGGCAGACGGGUGAGUAACGCGUGGGAAUCUACCCAACCCUACGGAAUAACCCAGGGAAACUUGGACUAAUACCGUAUACGCCCUUUUGGGGAAAGAUUUAUCGGGGAUGGAUGAGCCCGCGUUGGAUUACCUAGUUGGUGGGGUAAAGGCCUACCAAGGCGACGAUCCAUAGCUGGUCUGAGAGGAUGAUCAGCCACAUUGGGACUGAAACACGGCCCAAACUCCUACGGGAGGCAGCAGUGGGGAAUAUUGGACAAUGGGCGCAAGCCUGAUCCAGCCAUGCCGCGUGAGUGAUGAAGGCCUUAGGGUUGUAAAGCUCUUUCAGUAGGGAAGAUAAUGACGGUACCUACAGAAGAAGCCCCGGCUAACUUCGUGCCAGCAGCCGCGGUAAUACGAAGGGGGCUAGCGUUGUUCGGAAUUACUGGGCGUAAAGCGCACGUAGGCGGACAUUUAAGUCAGGGGUGAAAUCCCGGGGCUCAACCUCGGAACUGCCUUUGAUACUGGGUGUCUUGAGUGUGGAAGAGGUCAGUGGAAUUGCGAGUGUAGAGGUGAAAUUCGUAGAUAUUCGCAGGAACACCAAUGGCGAAUGCGGCUGACUGGUCCACAACUGACGCUGAGGUGCGA
RNAcentral lists this ribosomal RNA (650 nucleotides) under Rhizobium oryzicola. Its description in RNAcentral is "bacterial SSU rRNA". It matches the Rfam family "Bacterial small subunit ribosomal RNA", at positions 57 to 756 of the family's 1533-position model. The record is from RNAcentral. Lineage: Bacteria; Pseudomonadati; Pseudomonadota; Alphaproteobacteria; Hyphomicrobiales; Rhizobiaceae.